AGACGCUGGCGGCGUGCCUAACACAUGCAAGUCGAGCGGAGAAUGCGGACAUGUUUACAUGGAAGCAUCUUAGCGGCGGACGGGUGAGUAACACGUGGGUAACCUGCCUCAAAGAGGGGGGAUAGCCUUCCGAAAGGAAGAUUAAUACCGCAUAAGCCUGCAGUACCGCAUGGUACAGCAGGAAAAGGAGCAAUCCGCUUUGAGAUGGACCCGCGGCGCAUUAGCUAGUUGGUGAGGUAACGGCUCACCAAGGCGACGAUGCGUAGCCGACCUGAGAGGGUGAUCGGCCACAUUGGAACUGAGACACGGUCCAGACUCCUACGGGAGGCAGCAGUGGGGAAUAUUGCACAAUGGGCGAAAGCCUGAUGCAGCAACGCCGCGUGAAUGAUGAAGGCCUUCGGGUCGUAAAGUUCUUUGAUCAGGGAUGAUAAUGACAGUACCUGAAAAACAAGCCACGGCUAACUACGUGCCAGCCGCGGC
This 480-nucleotide ribosomal RNA is filed under the name uncultured bacterium. Its description in RNAcentral is "bacterial SSU rRNA". It matches the Rfam family "Bacterial small subunit ribosomal RNA", at positions 33 to 518 of the family's 1533-position model. The record is from RNAcentral.